RNAcentral lists this ribosomal RNA (254 nucleotides) under uncultured bacterium. RNAcentral's name for it is "partial 16S ribosomal RNA". It matches the Rfam family "Bacterial small subunit ribosomal RNA", at positions 524 to 776 of the family's 1533-position model. The record is from RNAcentral.
UACGUAGGGGGGCAAGCGUUGUCCGGAUUUAUUGGGCGUAAAGAGCGUGUAGGCGGCCAUGUAGGUCCGGUGUGAAAACUCGAGGCUUAACCUCGAGAUGUCAUCGGAAACCAUUUGGCUAGAGUCCGGAAGAGGAGAGUGGAAUUCCUGGUGUAGCGGUGAAAUGCGCAGAUAUCAGGAAGAACACCAAUGGCGAAAGCAGCUCUCUGGGACGGUACUGACGCUGAGACGCGAAAGCGUGGGGAGCGAACAGG